UUUUAUUUUUGCAAAUACGUUCACUUUAUUUGUAUUUUUUACCACAAAAUAAUGAAAUAUGCAGCAUCCCUUAAUUUUUACAUUAAAAAUAGUUAUUACAAUCAAUGAUAUGAGCAUUAUAUGGAUACAAGUAUGAAGUUGCAGUGCAAAGGCUUACAAAAUCUUGAGCAAAAUCAAAUAUAUUACUUUAAAAUUCUUUACCCUAAAUUACAGAGGUGCAAAUGAUCCCUUUGGGCCUCAACCAAUAUCCACAUAAAAUUAGUUCAAACAUAUUUCAUUUAGAUCUAAUAAAACUAUUCAAAAUAAAAAAUCCACCUUGUAUAAACUCACCUUUCCAUGUUAAGACUCCUCCUUACCUGUCCACAAAUAAAAUAUAGGUGAUCAACUAAAUCCUCCGGUCUUUUUACUGACCCUUAUUCCAAUCACAGAGGAGGCUUUACCUCUUCUCUGUGUCUGGUCAGGUCUGGUCAGGUUUGGUCUGGUCAUUAUGCUGGUCAGGUCAGGUCUGGUCAGGUAUGGUCAUUAUGCUGGUCAGGUCAGGUCAGGUCUGGUCAGGUCAGGUCAGGUCUGGUCAGGUCUGGUCAGGUCAGGUCAGGUCAGGUCUGGUCAGGUCUGGUCAGGUCAGGUCUGGUCUGGUCAGGUCAGGUCUGGUCAGGUCUGGUCAGGUCAGGUCUGGUCAGGUCAGGUCAGGUCUGGUCAGGUCUGGUCAGGUCAGGUCUGGUCAGGUCAGGUCAGGUCAGGUCAGGUCUGGUCAGGUCAGGUCAGGUCAGGUCUGGUCAGGUCAUUAUGCUGGUCAGGUCAGGUCUGGUCUGGUCAGGUCAGGUCAGGUCAGGUCAGGUCAGGUCAGGUCAGGUCAGGUCAGGUCAGGACAUUAUGCUGGUCUGGUCAGGGCAGGUCUGGUUAGGUCUGGACAGGUCAGGUCAGGUCAGGACAUUAUGCAGGUCUGGUCAGUUCUGGUCAGGUCUGGUCAGGUCUGGUCAGGACAUUGAUGCUUGAUCCUUUCACUGCAUUGCCAUUGUAGCCUCAGCAUCUGAAAAUACACAAGACAACAGAAUAAUCUGAUUAGGACAUAGAACAUUUC
Long non-coding RNA from Oncorhynchus tshawytscha (Chinook salmon), 1081 nucleotides. NCBI's taxonomy places the organism in Eukaryota, Metazoa, Chordata, Actinopteri, Salmoniformes, Salmonidae. The record is from Ensembl.